This 937-nucleotide long non-coding RNA is filed under the name Vulpes vulpes (red fox). RNAcentral's name for it is "lncRNA (ENSVVUG00000018153.1)". Lineage: Eukaryota; Metazoa; Chordata; Mammalia; Carnivora; Canidae. The record is from RNAcentral.
AUUUUGUUCAAUAUAAGUAUUGCUACCCUGGUUUUCUUUUCACUUCCAUUUGCAUGAUAAAUGCUUUUCCAUCCCUUCAUUUUCUCCAAGUGUCUUUAGAUCUGAUUUGUUAGAAGAGCAUCUAUCAAUUCAGUCCAUUUCAACAUGAAUGAUGUGUCUCUCUGCAUAAGAAAACAGGGUUCUGGAAAUACCUAAAGGAAAUUUUGAAGGUGGAAGUAUACGUGGGAGUUCGUAAGCAUAAACUUGAACUUAUUGUCCAACUUUUAACCAACUUAAUGAUCUUUAAAGUGGCUUUUGGUGUAUUUAAAUGGAGAAGCAUUACCAGGAAGCUUUUUUAAACAGACCUGAUUAAAUCCUGUCUCCUUGACCAUGAUCACGUCACAUUUCCUCUUUACCUACCAAAGUUGAGGAAAGUAUUAACUGACUAAAGGACAUUCAGCACCCAGUAUAUCUACAUCAUAUUUCUACAGAAGACAGCUGUGUUUGAGCUCUUUGAUUCCUAUUACAUAUUCCCUACACCUUCCACUAUAACUUGGCCUCAACAUUACCAUUCUGCUAAGCAGCGGUCAGCAAACUUCCAUAAAGGCCCAGAUGAACCAUCUGGAAGUGGCAGCUGUAUUGCAUCUUCACUAAAGCUGGAAGAGGAAGUAGUGGGCUUAAGCUUCCACAGAGGGAUUUAGGUUAAAUAUAAGAAAGUAUUUCCUUACAAGAAGAUUCGUAAACAUUGGUCUGAGUAACGAAGGAGGUGGUAUAAUCACAUUCCCUGGAGGACUUCACCACAGAAGAGAUAUUUGUCCAAUUAAGAUGACUUUUGGUGCAUGCCCACAAGAAGCAGGUUUGUUGUUGAAGUUCAUACUCAGUCUUCUAUUCUUAAUUAUACUUUAAUGUUUGAUCAGUCUAUUGUGCUUUAUGUGGUAUGGAUUCAUAUUUGGGUAAC